AAUGUCUGGGGUUUCCUCUGCCUUUUUUCCAAUGAAAAUAACAAAACCUCUUAUUUCCCAUUGAGGGGGAAAAAGGUGGGAGAAGCCCCGGCAGAACUGAAGCUGCUCCU
Molecule: microRNA precursor, 110 nt
Organism: Chlorocebus sabaeus (green monkey)
Lineage: Eukaryota; Metazoa; Chordata; Mammalia; Primates; Cercopithecidae
Source: Ensembl